GGAGAGCAAUCCGGGAUGGGUUCCCGGCGCCGGUUGGAAUCCGGCCGGUGCUGCAAGGCAUCUGGUUCGAAUCCAGUGUUCUCCGCCA
RNAcentral lists this transfer RNA (88 nucleotides) under Planctomycetota bacterium. Its description in RNAcentral is "tRNA-Ser". Lineage: Bacteria; Pseudomonadati; Planctomycetota. The record is from RNAcentral.